This 576-nucleotide long non-coding RNA is filed under the name Homo sapiens (human). RNAcentral describes it as "non-protein coding lnc-KIDINS220-11:3". The record is from RNAcentral. Lineage: Eukaryota; Metazoa; Chordata; Mammalia; Primates; Hominidae.
GAUUUAAGGAUCUCUAGGCAGUGUUGUCUUAAACUUUUCUUUUUUUUUUGGAAACUUUUAUUUUAAUACAGAAUCUAAUCUACAGAAAAGUUGCAAAGAACUUCUAUAUGCCCUUUACCCAGACUCACCAGUCAUUUAUGUUUUCCCUGUUACUUCCUCAUCUCCCCUCUCUCUGUCUUUUAUACACAGUGUGUACAAUGUGUAUUCGCUUUUUUAGAACGAACUUUAUCCAUAGUAGCAGUGUACAUUCCCACUAGCAACUUAGGAGAGUUUCAGUUACUCUACUCCACAUCCUUCCAACAGUUGAUAUCACCAGUGUAACUGCAUAAGUAAUGUUAAUUUAAAGAUACAGCAAAUGUUUUUGUUUCUUUAUUUCAGAUGAGAAAUAACUUUAGACAUUAUUUCAUUGAACCUUCCCAACUGAAAUUAUUUUAUGAUGUUAUAACAUGGAUAGUAACUCAAGUAGCAAUAAGUUACACAGUUGUGCCAUUUGUGCUUCUUUCUAUAAAACCAUCACUCACGUUUUACAGCUCCUGGUAUUAUUGCCUGCACAUUCUUGGUAUCUUAGUAUUAUUG